CACGUGGAUAACCUUCCUUCAGGUGGGGAAUAACCCAGUGAAAAUUGGGCUAAUACCGCAUAACAUUUCGGGGGCACAUGCUUCUGAAUUCAAAGGCGCAAGUCGCCAGAAGAGGGAUCCGCGGCCGAUUAGCUAGUUGGCGGUGUAACGGACCACCAAGGCAAAGAUCGGUAGCUGGACUGAGAGGUUGGCCAGCCACACUGGAACUGAGACACGGGUCCAGACUCCUACGGGAGGCAGCAGUGGGGAAUCUUGCACAAUGGGCGAAAGCCUGAUGCAGCAACGCCGCGUGGGGGAUGA
RNAcentral lists this ribosomal RNA (300 nucleotides) under uncultured Acidobacteriota bacterium. RNAcentral describes it as "bacterial SSU rRNA". It matches the Rfam family "Bacterial small subunit ribosomal RNA", at positions 114 to 411 of the family's 1533-position model. Lineage: Bacteria; Pseudomonadati; Acidobacteriota. The record is from RNAcentral.